This 394-nucleotide ribosomal RNA is filed under the name uncultured organism. RNAcentral describes it as "bacterial SSU rRNA". It matches the Rfam family "Bacterial small subunit ribosomal RNA", at positions 45 to 433 of the family's 1533-position model. The record is from RNAcentral.
UGCCUAACACAUGCAAGUCGAACGGCAGCAUGAUAGGAGCUUGCUCUUAUUGAUGGCGAGUGGCGGACGGGUGAGUAAUAUGUAGGAAUCUACCUAGAGGUGCGGGAUAACUUAGGGAAACUUAAGCUAAUACCACAUAAGCCCCAAGGGGGAAAGCAGGGGAUCUUCGGACCUUGCGCCUUAUGAUGAGCCUACAUCGGAUUAGCUUGUUGGUGGGGUAAAGGCCUACCAAGGCGACGAUCCGUAGCUGGUCUGAGAGGAUGAUCAGCCACACUGGGACUGAGACACGGCCCAGACUCCUACGGGAGGCAGCAGUGGGGAAUAUUGGACAAUGGACGCAAGUCUGAUCCAGCCAUUCCGCGUGCAGGAUGAAGGCCCUCGGGUUGUAAACUGC